UUCCGGUUGAUCCUGCCAGACCUGACUGCUAUCGGAUUGAUACUAAGCCAUGCGAGUCAUUGUAGCAAUACAAGGCAUACGGCUCAGUAACGCGUAGUCAACCUAACCUAUGGACGGGAAUAACCUCGGGAAACUGAGAAUAAUGCCCGAUAGAACAUUAUGCCUGGAAUGGUUUAUGUUCCAAAUGAUUUAUCGCCAUAGGAUGGGACUGCGGCCUAUCAGUUUGUUGGUGAGGUAAUGGCCCACCAAGACUAUUACAGGUACGGGCUCUGAGAGGAGUAGCCCGGAGAUGGGUACUGAGACACGGACCCAGGCCCUAUGGGGCGCAGCAGGCGAGAAAACUUUGCAAUGUGCGAAAGCACGACAAGGUUAAUCCGAGUGAUUUCUGCUAAAGAGAUCUUUUGUUAGUCCUAGAAACACUAACGAAUAAGGGGUGGGCAAGUUCUGGUGUCAGCCGCCGCGGUAAAACCAGCACCUCAAGUGGUCAGGAUGAUUAUUGGGCCUAAAGCAUCCGUAGCCGGCUCUGUAAGUUUUCGGUUAAAUCUGUACGCUCAACGUACAGGCUGCCGGAAAUACUGCAGAACUAGGGAGUGGGAGAGGUAGACGGUACUCGGUAGGAAGUGGUAAAAUGCUUUGAUCUAUCGAUGACCACCUGUGGCGAAGGCGGUCUACCAGAACACGUCCGACGGUGAGGGAUGAAAGCUGGGGGAGCAAACCGGAUUAGAUACCCGGGUAGUCCCAGCUGUAAACUAUGCAAACUCAGUGAUGCAUUGGCUUGUGGCCAAUGCAGUGCUGCAGGGAAGCCGUUAAGUUUGCCGCCUGGGAAGUACGUACGCAAGUAUGAAACUUAAAGGAAUUGGCGGGGGAGCACCACAAGGGGUGAAGCCUGCGGUUCAAUUGG
RNAcentral lists this ribosomal RNA (901 nucleotides) under uncultured archaeon. Its description in RNAcentral is "bacterial SSU rRNA". It matches the Rfam family "Archaeal small subunit ribosomal RNA", at positions 1 to 909 of the family's 1478-position model. The record is from RNAcentral.